UCCCAGACUCCUACGGGAGGCAGCAGUGAGGAAUAUUGGUCAAUGGCCGGAAGGCUGAACCAGCCAUGCCGCGUGAAGGUCAGUGCCCUAUGGGCGUUAAACUUCUUUUGUGCGGGAGCAAUAAUGGUCACGUGUGGCCAGACGAGAGUACCGUACGAAUAAGCAUCGGCUAACUCCGUGCCAGCAGCCGCGGUAAUACGGGGGAUGCAAGCGUUAUCCGGAUUUAUUGGGUUUAAAGGGUGCGUAGGCGGAUUGAUAAGUUAGAGGUGAAAUGUCCGAGCUCAACUCGGGAACUGCCUCUAAUACUGUUGAUCUAGAGAGUAGAUGCGGUAGGCGGAAUGUAUGGUGUAGCGGUGAAAUGCUUAGAGAUCAUACAGAACACCGAUUGCGAAGGCAGCUUACCAAUCUAUAUCUGACGUUGAGGCACGAAAGCGUGGGGAGCAAACAGGAUUAGAUACCCCGGUAA
This 466-nucleotide ribosomal RNA is filed under the name uncultured bacterium. RNAcentral's name for it is "bacterial SSU rRNA". It matches the Rfam family "Bacterial small subunit ribosomal RNA", at positions 329 to 793 of the family's 1533-position model. The record is from RNAcentral.